UUAGACCUACGGGGCGCAGCAGUGGGGAAUAUUGGGCAAUGGGCGCAAGCCUGACCCAGCAACGCCGCGUGAAGGAAGAAGGCUUUCGGGUUGUAAACUUCUUUUGUCAGGGACGAAGCAAGUGACGGUACCUGACGAAUAAGCCACGGCUAACUACGUGCCAGCAGCCGCGGUAAUACGUAGGUGGCAAGCGUUAUCCGGAUUUACUGGGUGUAAAGGGCGUGUAGGCGGGACUGGAAGUCA
Molecule: ribosomal RNA, 243 nt
Filed under: uncultured bacterium
Lineage: Bacteria
Description: partial 16S ribosomal RNA
Rfam family: Bacterial small subunit ribosomal RNA
Source: RNAcentral